RNAcentral lists this unclassified non-coding RNA (293 nucleotides) under uncultured fungus. RNAcentral describes it as "partial contains small subunit ribosomal RNA, internal transcribed spacer 1, and 5.8S ribosomal RNA". The stretch from base 1 to 73 matches the Rfam family "Eukaryotic small subunit ribosomal RNA", at positions 1759 to 1831 of the family's 1831-position model. Lineage: Eukaryota; Fungi. The record is from RNAcentral.
GCAAACUUGGUCAUUUAGAGGAAGUAAAAGUCGUAACAAGGUUUCCGUAGGUGAACCUGCGGAAGGAUCAUUCAUAAUAGAGUGUUUUAUGGCACUCUAAAAAAAAAUCCAUAUCCACCUUGUGUGCAAUGUUAAUAACUCUAUGUAGGCGGGUAACCGUUUACUCUGUGGAGUUUUUUCAUAUCAACUCUUUUUAAAUUGAAUUGUCUGAAAAACGUUAUGAAUUUUACUUAAUUCAAAACACAACUUUCAACAACGGAUCUCUUGGCUCUCGCAUCGAUGAAGAACGCAGC